CUCAACCUUCCUCUGCAGCGCCCCUACCGACCCGCGCUCCGCAGCUCCUGAGGGCUUUCGAGCCCAGAUGGUCAUCUGAGACGAGAGGUGGCGGCGAAGGAGAGUCUCGCCUGUCACGCUCCCGGAGCAGGGGCUUCAUGAGGUGGCCAUGGAAACGGCCUGGCAGACUCCCAUCUCUCCUGGUGCCAUCUCCGGAGCGGAAAGUCGAGCGCCCCGCUGGCGACCAAGGCCGCACUGAGAGCCCUGGUUUGGUCAACAGUUGGGCUCCAAGGAGCCCUGGUAUUCCUUGAACAUGCAUACCUUUCCCAGCGUGAGGGACAUGGACCGUGCCGUGCGAGGGACCCCAUCUUCUGCAGCAGGAGGGAGCAGAGAAGAGAACACAGCCACCCUCAUCAGCCAGAGUCCAAACUCUGACAGUGCCCAUGGGGAGAUCUGGUCCAAGGCACCAACUUCUUCCUGCUGGACUGAGAAAGAGCCUCUUACUGUGUCUCUCUUUACCUCAGCUUUUGCACACCUCCAAUAUAUUGUCCACUGAAGUCAGAAUAAUCUAAAAAUAAAGCCUGAUUACAUCAUGUGGUAUAAACUUA
Molecule: non-coding RNA, 587 nt
Filed under: Pongo abelii (Sumatran orangutan)
Lineage: Eukaryota; Metazoa; Chordata; Mammalia; Primates; Hominidae
Source: RNAcentral